Molecule: transfer RNA, 74 nt
Filed under: Saprospiraceae bacterium
Lineage: Bacteria; Pseudomonadati; Bacteroidota; Saprospiria; Saprospirales; Saprospiraceae
Also listed under: 2 other names
Description: tRNA-Arg
Rfam family: tRNA
About the family: Transfer RNA (tRNA) molecules are approximately 80 nucleotides in length. Their secondary structure includes four short double-helical elements and three loops (D, anti-codon, and T loops).
Source: RNAcentral
GGCUCCGUAGCUUAAUUGGAUAGAGUACCUGACUACGGAUCAGGCGGUUGAAGGUUCGAAUCCUUCCGGAGUCA